CCCUUAGAGUUUGAUCCUGGCUCAGGAUGAACGCUGGCGGCGUGCUUAACACAUGCAAGUCGAACGAAGCACCUUGAUUUGAUUCUUCGGAUGAAGAUCUUGGUGACUGAGUGGCGGACGGGUGAGUAACGCGUGGGUAACCUGCCUCAUACAGGGGGAUAACAGUUAGAAAUGACUGCUAAUACCGCAUAAGACCACAGCACCGCAUGGUGCAGGGGUAAAAACUCCGGUGGUAUGAGAUGGACCCGCGUCUGAUUAGGUAGUUGGUGGGGUAACGGCCUACCAAGCCGACGAUCAGUAGCCGACCUGAGAGGGUGACCGGCCACAUUGGGACUGAGACACGGCCCAAACUCCUACGGGAGGCAGCAGUGGGGAAUAUUGCACAAUGGGGGAAACCCUGAUGCAGCGACGCCGCGUGAGCGAUGAAGUAUUUCGGUAUGUAAAGCUCUAUCAG
Molecule: ribosomal RNA, 454 nt
Filed under: uncultured bacterium
Lineage: Bacteria
Description: bacterial SSU rRNA
Rfam family: Bacterial small subunit ribosomal RNA
Source: RNAcentral